AAGCUAAGAAUCGGCACCUCAAACAAAGAAAAGAAAAGCUCUCAUCGUCAUUUUCUUUUCUUGGAAAAGGAAAAGCUUCGGUCAAUCUCUUAUCUUUUCAAAAUUGAAAGAAACAGUCAUUCCUCCUCCUUGUGAGCUCUCUCGCCAAACCCAGGUCAACCCCGAAACAGCCCCAACACAAGCUAAAAGCUGCUGAAAUCAGCUGGGAAACGCAGCAAAAAAGAGCUGCAAAAUACCACCCAAAAUCCAGCGUAGAGAGCAGCAAAAUCAGCUGCGUAUCUGCUGAAAGUUCUGGCCAAAAGAAGCAGUGAAACAAGCUGCGAAGUAGCUCGAAAACCAACCAAAAGCUGGCUGAAAAUCAACACCAAACAGUCCCCUUUUGCAUAAAAAAUCGCAGUUCCAAGGUUGAGUCAUCGAGGUCGCGUCCAUGGUUCCGAUCCAGAUUUUGGAGUCGGUCCCAUCGGCGGCUAUUAGCGUGCUUGGAUUGAUCAGCUCAGCGGAGACUUGAGGUAUAAUUGUUUAGUGCCCGCGGCUCCUGGAGUCUCCUUCUUUAAUUUUAAUUAGUUAUGUAUUUUCAUUCAGACAACUUGGUACUUUUUUUAGACCCUUGUAUGUAUUAAUCUAGUAGCUCGUGCACUUGUGACACCGGGUUCAGGGAUUUGUAGUAGAUAUUUGGCAGUAUUAGCUUCUGCGUUCAUAUCGUAGAUUAUUUCAGUUAUUUCA
Long non-coding RNA from Nicotiana attenuata, 723 nucleotides. RefSeq lists it as uncharacterized. NCBI's taxonomy places the organism in Eukaryota, Viridiplantae, Streptophyta, Magnoliopsida, Solanales, Solanaceae. The record is from RefSeq and is a predicted model, not a curated record. The transcript has 2 exons.